UGGGGAAUAUUGCACAAUGGGCGCAAGCCUGAUGCAGCCAUGCCGCGUGUGUGAAGAAGGCCUUCGGGUUGUAAAGCACUUUCAGCGAGGAGGAAGGUGGUGAGCUUAAUACGCUCAUCAAUUGACGUUACUCGCAGAAGAAGCACCGGCUAACUCCGUGCCAGCAGCCGCGGUAAUACGGAGGGUGCAAGCGUUAAUCGGAAUUACUGGGCGUAAAGCGCACGCAGGCGGUUUGUUAAGUCAGAUGUGAAAUCCCCGGGCUCAACCUGGGAACUGCAUUUGAAACUGGCAAGCUAGAGUCUCGUAGAGGGGGUAGAAUUCCAGGUGUAGCGGUGAAAUGCGUAGAGAUCUGGAGGAAUACCGGUGGCGAAGGCGGCCCCCUGGACGAAGACUGACGCUCAGGUGCGAAAGCGUGGGGCAGCAAACAGGAUUAGAUACCCUGGUAGUCCACGCUGUAAACGAUGUCGAUUUUGGAGGUUGUGCCCUUGAGGCGUGGCUUCCGGAGCUAACGCGUU
RNAcentral lists this ribosomal RNA (515 nucleotides) under uncultured bacterium. Its description in RNAcentral is "partial 16S ribosomal RNA". It matches the Rfam family "Bacterial small subunit ribosomal RNA", at positions 355 to 861 of the family's 1533-position model. The record is from RNAcentral.